Molecule: ribosomal RNA, 253 nt
Filed under: uncultured bacterium
Lineage: Bacteria
Description: partial 16S ribosomal RNA
Rfam family: Bacterial small subunit ribosomal RNA
Source: RNAcentral
UACGUAGGGUGCAGGCGUUAAUCGGAAUUACUGGGCGUAAAGCGUGCGCAGGCGGUUUGCUAAGACAGGUGUGAAAUCCCCGGGCUUAACCUGGGAACUGCGCUUGUAACUGGCAAGCUUGAGUGUGGCAGAGGGGGGUGGAAUUCCACGUGUAGCAGUGAAAUGCGUAGAGAUGUGGAGGAACACCGAUGGCGAAGGCAGCUCCCUGGGCUAACACUGACGCUCAUGCACGAAAGCGUGGGGAGCAAACAGG